Molecule: ribosomal RNA, 235 nt
Filed under: uncultured Candidatus Saccharibacteria bacterium
Lineage: Bacteria; Candidatus Saccharimonadota
Description: partial 16S ribosomal RNA
Rfam family: Bacterial small subunit ribosomal RNA
Source: RNAcentral
UAAGCAGAUAGUGAAAUCUCGUGGCUCAACCAUUGAGACUAUUACCUGAACUGACGAGCUAGAGAAUGGUAGAGGUAGCUGGAAUUUCUAGUGUAGGAGUGAAAUCCGUAGAUAUUAGAAGGAACACCAAUGGCGUAGGCAGGCUACUGGACCAUUUCUGACGCUGAGGCACGAAAGCGUGGGAGCGAACCGGAUUAGAUACCCGGGUAGUCCACGCCGUAAACGAUGGAUGCUA